RNAcentral lists this long non-coding RNA (6216 nucleotides) under Mytilus galloprovincialis (Mediterranean mussel). The record is from RNAcentral. Lineage: Eukaryota; Metazoa; Mollusca; Bivalvia; Mytilida; Mytilidae.
AUCAAUUCAAAGUAUUCAAAUGAAAAUAUAGUCUUUUAAAGGGGUACCGACAGAUUCAGAAAAUAUAAAUGAAAGUAUUUUUUCAAUAGUUUUCUUAGGAAUUGAUACCUUACAGUCAUGAUGACAGUCAGCAUGUUUAUAACUUCCAAAAAAAUCUAGAGAUAUUUUUGGUAUUAAAUGAUUCUUGAAAGAUAUUUAAGAUAUAAGAGUUGGUGGUAAAUAUACCAGAUUUUCAAUUAAAUUCUGUAGUUUUUCAAUAGUGUGUAAUUAUUCAUAAGAUUGUGGAAAUUAUUUUUACCUAUAUAUUUGUUAGAAUGUACCUAAUUCUGGAAAGAUCAAUUUAUUGGUGUUUAUUUCAUUGUUUGGAGUGUAGAAAAUGAGUAAGGCAUGGGAUUUCACUUGGUUUUCAACAUAUUUGAGUAUUUUUUGUACCAAAUAAUAAAAAAAGGGUUGUGUAAUUAUAUUAUAAAUCUAAAUUCCUGCUUUUAAAAAUAAGUUAAGACAUGGCUUAACAAUGGCAAUCAUACAAACAAUAUAAUAGAUAAGGAAAAGGGGUGAUGUUUUUCUUUUGUCAUUACUGAAUACAUGAUGUAUAUUAUUACAAAAUAUUUAUACAAAUAUGCUUAUAUGGCAAAAAUAACCAUUGUUUUUAACAGAGAGAGAGAGAGUGAAAUUUUUGUCUAUGAAAGUAAAUGGUUGUGUGUUUGUGGGUGUGAGUGUGUGUGUGUUUGUGGGUGUGAGUGUGUGUGUGUUUGAAGGAUAUCUGUGUGCAUAUUUAGACAUUUUGAAGAAAAUAGUAGUGUUCCAUAUAAAUACUUUUGUUAGUAUCAGAGAAGCUGAACAUUUUACUCAAAUUGAAAAGGUUGAUUAGAACAGAUAUUUUUUUUUUAAUAAUUUAAUUUCAUUGAUCUUAAAAAUGAUCUCACGUAGGAUAUAUGAACAUUAUAAUCAGGCUUUUCAAAACAAAAAAAAGUUAAAUUCUAUUUAAGUUUUAUGCUUUUAAUUCUGAGACAUGACAAAUAUUUGUAUGAAACACUGUAUUAACAUGAUGGGGGGGAGGGGCUAAAUGUUUUACUUUGACCUUUUUAGUCAAGGAUAUGUAGCUUGUUUUAACAAGCUACUGAAAAUAAAUGAUAAAAGACUAAAUACUAACUCUAAUUUUUACACCCAAAUAACCGAUUGGAAACAUUGGAACGUAACUAAAAUUAGAGUUAUAUAUAGUUUUGACCAGUUUGAGGGAAUACCAACAUUGUCUUUUUACUAAGGUUUAUGUAUAGUCUUCAGAUUGGUAGGGUUGUCUUGGAAGAGGCUGUGGUAUAGGUGAUAGACGAAAGCAGAGGUGAAUCCAUUUUAUUCUUUUUUUGAUUUCAGCAGUUACUUUCAUGUAGAACAUCAUUUCAAGGUUGGUUUUAAACAUUGUUGGAGAUGGAAGUAGUUAAUCUCAGUUCCCAGUUUAAUUCAAUUUAGACACCCUGACCUAUCCUGUUAAAGAGUUUUGGUGUAGAUUUGUCUUAGACCAUAAUGGGUUUGAUGGGAUUGUGACAAUUGAAACAAAUAUGAUAACUAUUAGCAUAUGUGUGAUAAAUUCUGAAUGGUACAAACAAAUAUAUUUUAUUAGCAACCAAGAGCAGAAUUGAAAAGAAUUCAUUUUCCAUUUCAACAAAAAUAUGGAUGAAAAGGAAUGGUUAAAGUAAAAUGGCCUAAAAAAAUAUGACUAAGUUUUUUAGAUCAAACUGGCAUGAUGACAGACCUGAUUAUAUGUGUGGGCCUAAAAAAAACUCAUUUUCAUAUCUGUUAAAACCAAUUUAUUUUUUCAUGCUGCAGCUUUUUUAAAUAUUCCUUGUAAUACUCAGCUGUAAACAUUCUGCUUCCUUGUCCUCUGUAUUUGAAAAGUGUAUGUGGUUUGGUUGAAACAACUGAAUUAUAGUCAAUUCUGACCAAUAUUCAUGCGAAAUAAGCUUUGUCUAUGCAAUACAUCAUUCUGAACAUGCAUGAAAUAUUUCCCACUGGAUGUUAAGCAACCUACAAUCAAUCAAUUUAUAUAACACAAAAAACGUUUUAUCACCUUAUUCGGUUAGAUUUGACAGGAACAAGAUAAACAUUUUAGAUACAUUUUUAAUACAGAGUAGGUUGUGGUUGAAGACUCCUAACGUCAGUAAAUUAAUUUAAUUUGCUGACCAGCCGAAAUAUGUCCCUCUGAAAUACAUGAAAGGCCUGAGUAUGGGAUAAUUACAUUUCUACUUUCAGUACCUGUGAAUCCGAAAUCUUGACUAUUGGCUCUGUACAGUUUGAAAUUGUACUUUACUUCUAACAGAAGCAAAGACUCCGAUUAAACUGAACAAAUAACCCAUGAUAAUGAUGUAGUACUUGAAAUGCCAUCCCAGUUAUUUAUAUAUGGUUCAGAAGAUCUUACCUAAAAACGUGAAGAAAAUGCAAGAUUUCAUAAAUCCACGAAAAAUUUAGAAUUUAGUGAAUAUUUUGCCAGACCUAGUUCGUCCUGUUGCUCUUCUCACAUCUAUCUGUUUGUCAAUACCUGAUAUAGAGAGAAUUGACGCAGUAGGAAUAUAGGUCAAUUGUAAUCACAACUGCUUACUGGCCGGUUGUAACUUGGGUAAAUUACAAUAAUUCAUAGAACGAGAAAGGUCGAUGCUGUUAAAAGGAAAAGUACUAUUGAAAUAAAAAUGGUCACGAUGAUGAGGAAAAGGCUACUUAUGAAAGACUUUAAAUUGUCCUGUCUUGAAAAAUAUUCUUCAUCCUAUCAGAAUGCCACUGGGUUGAACCGUCUUUUCAUGAAACUUGAGAGAUUUUUUUUUUAAUCAAGAAAGGCUAUUGUAUAUAAAUACGCAUUUACGAUAGCUCUUCAAACUGGUUAAUCGUUGCAUCGUAAAACAUGAUGUACCCUGCUUCGUAUACAGAACGUCAAAGAAUGACUAGAUGAUUGCCUGCACAAUUUUGAAGAAAGUCGAUCAGUCGUUUAACGAAUUUAAGGAUAUAAUAGUUCAAUUCAGGAAGCCCAAUUGAAAAAGGAAUUGCUGGUCAUUUUCUACUUUGAAACUUUGAAAAAAAUAAACUUAGAAGAUAAAGAUCCAGAAAUAUUAAUCUCUCAUAUUUGAAUAAAUGGCGACUGAACUCUACCCUCAAAUAAUCGGGAGUGUUUCCUCCUAUCCGUUUAAAUCAUUACCGUUUGGUUUCCUUCCUCGAGAUAUACCGGUAGAUGUAUAAAGGCUAUAACACUAUUAGCAAAGUAACCUGUAAAUUUUGAAUUGCUAUGACCUGAUAAAAUCAAUUAUAUACGUUAAUUUUAGAAUGCAACACCAUUAUAUGAAUUCGUCAAUUAAAACGUUUGUUAAGCCACCAAACCCUGUAUGAAUGGUACUGACUUUGGGAGAGCAACAAAAUCUUUGACGGGAGGCGAAAGGUGACUAUUACAAGUAAAUUACUUGCCAAGAAAUGCGUUUUAUUCCAGUUCCGAAGGUAACAAAUGGUAACCUUGACAUGUUGAUGUGGUUUAGGAAAAUGACUGCUUCGAUAGUUCUGCCUUCGGAGGCCGGUGGUCCUUCUAGAGCCAGACCAGACUUGAAACUUGGUCUCUGCUGCGUCUCCACCAAUCAUGCACACUUAUGAGAGUAGGUCAGACACAUUUCAGCACGUGCACUCUUGGUUUUAUAUCAGUUUGGACCAUAUUUUAUUGAUUAUAUCGGGUUUUAAAGGUUUUGUGUCUUAUCUGUAACAGUUUGAGGUUAUAUAAUCCAUUUGAAUGUUUUGUUUUCUUAAGUGUUAGCUUUUCGGUCAUUGGUAACCAGUAUAGUAUCAUCUUGGUUGUCUUCUGCUUUUUGGUCGAGUUGUCUCUUCCUUUAAUUAUGAGUUCCCUGUUUUCCAUUCUUUUAUUCUUUCUACUUACUGUAUGGUAAAACAAUCUUGUUAUCGAAUAGAUGUUUUCAAUGUUAUAAAUUGAUCCAGCGGGUUUCGGGUUUUAUUUCCAUUUAAUAAAAUAAAAACGAAGAUAUUAAUGAUAAUCGGUCACCAAUCAAUAUAGAGACCAACAAUAUAACUGAAUUAUAAGUAAAUGCAUACCAAUCAGCCUGAAUAAGAGUACACAUAUUUCGCCCCUGACGAAAAUGCCUUCAAUGUGAUACAGCCAUUUUCUAGCACAGUAUAUAUACUAAAUAUAAACCUGGUAACCAAAGGUAAAAUCAGGAUACUAAUUUGGUAGUGUUCGGCCGCCAGCAGUUGCCAUGCAAUAGAUUAUAAUCUGUUCCAACACAUGCUUUUCUCUUUUUGAUAUAUUGAAAACUGGACGUCAAGUUCAAUAUUGACGAAAUUUCACUUUUACCGCCAACGAGUUGAUGUCCUUGCUAUAUUGAAAAAUAGAAACUUAUGUCGUUUCCAUACAAUAAUUUAAUGAGCCGUUUAACCAAUACUCUUCAAAUUUUGAUAUGACGAUGACCAAAUUGCAGAACUGUUUGACAUUGACGAUUUUCACUUUUCCCGUACAUGAGUUACGGUCCUUGUUAUAUUUGAAAAAUGGCAACUUCCGAACAAUUACUUAUGAGCCGUGCAACCAAUGUAAUUCAAAUUUGAUAUGCUAAUGACAAAACGGAGGUCAAAUUCGAUAUUGACGAUUUUCAGUUUUUAAUGAGUUACGGCCCUUGCUAUAUUCGAAAACGACUACCAACCUUUGUUCCAAUGAUUUUCAAAUUAUGAUGUUCCUGAUGACAAAAUGGAGGUCAAAUGCACCUCUCUUUAGAUAUUGAUGGUUUCUUUUUUUUUUACGGUUAAGGAGUUAUGGCCCUUAAUAUACCGAAAAAAUGCACUUUGUCUUUUCCGUUCUAUUAACUAUAAACAACUCGACUUAUGCUAUGCUACCGAUGAAAAAAUAAAAGGUCAAGUUCAAUAUCGAUGAUUCUUACUUUUGUAGUGUAUAAAGCCAGUGUGUUUUUUUUUUGUUUUUUUUUUGUUGAUACAUUGGAAAAUGGCACUUUAUGUCGUUUCAGUGCAAUUACUGGCGAACCGUUGAGCUAGCGAUUUGAACAUUUGAAAAUGCAGUCACUAAUGAGAAAGUGGUAAUCGAGUUUGAUAUUGAACAUUUUCUUGUUAGGUCGAUCAUAGAAUGGAAAAUGAACACAGAAUAUGACGUGUCAAAAAAGCAGUGUUUGCUGUUAAUUUGCCUUUAGUUGGUAUAACUUUUUUUUUGUAGAAUAUGUUAAAGUUCUUUGUAUUGUUGAUCCUAUGAUAGUUAUGUCCAUCGGCGUCAACAUUUAGGGACAGUCUGUUAGCGUUAUAUUGGACAUGUUUUUUAACUUGAUCUAUCCUAAAUGGAAUUCAAUGACAUUUAGACAGAAACUCAUUAUGACUAAAAGACAAUAGCCAGAGCAAACUGUGUUUGUUUUACAGUAUCGUUUAGAUAAAGUCACCAAUAACUUUUUCAAACCUUCAUAAAAAAUUUGGUAAUUUGGGCAGAAGCUUUUUUAUGAUCAAAAGACAUUAUCAAGAGUAAAAUUAAUAAUAAAAUUGUCUUUUUUUAUUCUUCCGUAUUUCAGAGACAUCUCUGCUAUUUCAUUGAUUAAGAAUUACAAAAUAUUGAUACAAACCCGGUUCUGUGAGUCUGUUUAUAGCCUGAGAUCUUAGUUCACUGUUCGAUAGUAUUGUCGCGAAGAGGGGGUUUGCCAAGGACCCAUACUAGUCGGUUAAGUACACAUUUGGCAGGUCGGUUCAACCUUCCAUCAUGUUGCAUCAAUAAACUUACGGUUAUCGCUAGAUUUAUAGACAUGUCUGUUAUUUUUUUUUGUUCUAGAAGUAUUUGUGUAUUGGUAAAAAAAAAAAAGCAUUUUUUUUUACCGAAUUUACUUUGAUCAGAUUAUUUUUGACGAACUUAGCGGUAUUGGUGUCUCUCGCCAUCUCGGAAUAUAAAAUAGCAGAACGCAAUAGGGCUAGAUUCUCAAUCAAAUCAGCAAAUGUUUAUGUAGAAAUGUAAUUAAGAAAUUGAUUUUUUAUUUAAAAUGGACACUUGUUAGUGAGUGUUACUUUUAUAUCUGAUACUCUCACAAAAGUGGAUUAUAUUUGCUUAUUUUCUAUUUUUUUUUAAUUAAGGAAUUAAGGGGAUGUUACUCAGAAUAGUUUCGGAAUCUAUAAAUGACUUUUUUUAGUAUUCUUUCUACAGUAAACAUCCAAUGUAUAAGGUUUUACUAUUGGGUUUACAGAUGAAUUUGAACGGAA